This 900-nucleotide long non-coding RNA is filed under the name Leguminivora glycinivorella. RNAcentral's name for it is "uncharacterized LOC125227728". The record is from RNAcentral. Lineage: Eukaryota; Metazoa; Arthropoda; Insecta; Lepidoptera; Tortricidae.
CAUUUUAGAUGUUAUCCCCAAGCCUCUCAAGGUCGUUAGGGCUCCUGAGAUCAUUUCCUGCACUUGCUAGCUGUCUCCGGUCCUGUUCAGGCCUCCAGUGCCUGCUUUAAUUAUCGAGUUUCAUCUUCGAUCCAAAAAGUGAUCAGAUUGAUGGAGUGCUGGCGGUCAAUCCUUGUGUAGCCUAAGGGCAUUCUGGAGGAAUAUUUUCCCACCAUGAAUUUCUUCUGGUGGACUAUGUGGAGGGAAGGGUCGUCAGAGCUGAGAAAAUGAGCUCUCUCAAGUUCCAGCUGGUAAGGAAAUCAGAAUAGUAAUUGUCCACAUUUAAUAGGUUAGACCACAUUCACUUUUCUAAUGAUGUCUUGUUUUCCUUUUCAGCUGACUGGGAACUAGAACUAUAACUAUAAUUAAAAUUAUAAUUAGGGGGCCGGUUUGUCCGGCAACUCAAAUUUUACCACAAGCGUCGAAUGGUGCGAUAGCUUGUUUCCGGGGUCGAGCCUAUUCCAGGUGAAGAAGAUGCUCUCAACUUGCUGAUGCGUCGGUUGCGGUGGUGCUUCAUUGUGGCACAGCGCCUGGGGCGACCAGCUUCAGUUUGCAGAAGGAGGGCUUACACAUUGUAUUAGCGGUAACUUCUGGCUUGAAGGUUGGUGUCAUUUUCUUUCUUCCUGGAAGGCAAGAUUACUUAGUUUAGUUAAGAAGAAUUCCUAUUAUCUAUGUUGGCACUGAUAACUAGGGACUAACAGAACUUAGGAACGCUUGUAAAUCAUUUAGAAUUUGAACUAUUGCACGGCCCAGCUCUACCGUCUGGCAAUACAUAUUAAGGUGCUAGCUUAAGCUUAGAAUAAUGAUUUACUAGCUAUAACUUGCUUUGUGUCCAUUAGACAAUAAAACUGUGUGUCACAA